AAUGGCAGAAGCAAAAAGCAAUGAUUCAGAUCCAUGGUGGCUGCCUUAUUUAUUUAUCUGUAUGGGAAUAGUGAUUCUGGUGUUCAUUGUAAUGCCAAUCUCCAGUAUCAGUGGAUUUAACUGUUUAAGAAAAUGCAAUGCCCAGAAAGUGCAGGAUCAGCUUACAUCAAAAUUCAUCUUGACAACACCUGUCAAAGAUAUUCUGAAGGACGAGGAAUUUGUCUGUGUCCAGUACUCAGAAGUUAUACAAAUUAAAAAAAAAAUUGUGAUCGCAUAGACAUAUUCAGGGCUGUUUCUAGGCAAAGACAAACCAGGCGGUCGCCUAGGGCGCCACCAGCUCCAGGGGCGCCAAAGAGCGCAUAUACAUUUUGACUUCUGCGUCACUGACUUGAAUAAGUAAAAAAUGAGCACUGCAACAAAAUUAAAGAUAAACUCUGAAUGUCAUGUGUUUAACACAGAAUGGACAGCAAAAUAUUUCACCAGCAUCAGACAGAAGAUGGUAUGUGUGAUUUGCCCAAAGUUUUGCAGUUUUGCAAGAC
Non-coding RNA from Misgurnus anguillicaudatus (oriental weatherfish), 539 nucleotides. The record is from RefSeq and is a predicted model, not a curated record. NCBI's taxonomy places the organism in Eukaryota, Metazoa, Chordata, Actinopteri, Cypriniformes, Cobitidae.